CACAGAGCUCAACACGGGGCUUGAACUUACAACCAUGGAUGCUCAACCGACAGAGCCACUGAGGUGCCCCAAGAAAGUAGAUCUUGAAAGUCCUUAGGUGAUCUCUCCAGUUUGAAGCCAAUUAUUCCCUUCAAAUCUAAAAGCAGUUGAGGAAUCAACUGGGCAAGUGGGAUCACAAGUGCAUACCUUUAAAGAGGAUGGAAGACAGCAGCAAUUAAUUAAUGAAGACUGAAGAAAUACUUAUUAUAAUGUUUAAAAUGUUCUUUUGUACUUAUUUGACAAAAAUCCCAAGAUUCAUCAGUUUCUGGAAACUCAACGCAAGGGCUGCCGGCUCCUGACUCAGGCCACUGUUGUUAGUCUCCCCUGGCUCCCUCCAAACACCACCUGCCCCUGGGCUUCUGAGCUCACACAAACCACUGUCCCUGCCGCCCUCAUCUGCCCAGUGCCUCCGGUGGCCAAGAAUUCCACAUGAAUGGUUUACGAUGUUGGUGAAAUGUUCUCUAUGAUACCACAAAAUGUCUUCUUAAAACCAACCAAAUAAUGUUGAUCAGUAAAUUUCCUUCUUCAGUGAUCUCUGUGGACAGAAGAGUUUGAGGCACAUGAACAAAGAAUGCUCAAGAUUAUUGGGAUCUGGAAGGUACUUUGUGAACACAUGAGGCUGCGCACCUGUACUCUAUGAUGGUGGUUGACAUUGGUGGUGGGAAGAUUUCAACUUUUCUCUAAUUUAAGAAGAUUUAAAUAAAGUAUGUUGUUCUGAUUGAAACCUGUGAAGAAAAUCUAGCUGCAUGAAAAUGUGUAGCUGGAAAAGGGAGGAUUUGACGGACACCUGAAAGAAUCUCAAGGACUCGUAGGUGUUUUUGGACUGCAUUUUGAAAAUGACUGAUAUAGAUGUAAGUGCUAAAAAAGCUUUGUUCCCAUAAAAGUAGGUGAAAAUGGAAAGAAUAGUGAUAACAGCUACACACUUAAAAAUAUCCAUUAUACAUGUUCCUGUUGUCAAAUGCUAUUUUCAAUUGCUAACAAUCAAGUCCUCUUCCAAUUUUGUUGAAAAGUGAUUUGAAUUUGCAAACGAAUUUGUUACUUGAUCUUAGAGUCAUUUAUUUUCUCAAUAUUUGGGAAAUACACCAAAAGGAUCUUUUGAAGAAUUAACAAAUGGCAAUUAAUCAGGGAUAUUACUCUUUCUCUUAGACAUACCCUAUUUGGGUUUUUAACAUAGAAAGCAUUGGAAAAAUGGAAGUGUUGUCAAUUUCAAUACAGCUUUAAUAAUAGAGUGUGCUAAUGUAAAAUGUUUGUAUGUAGUGACAAUAGCAUAUGUGUGUGUGUGUGUGUAUCCCACCCCGCCCUACUCCCACUACUUAAUUGUUGGGAGUUCCAAUUAGUUUAUUCAAUUCAUUGAAAAUGUCAAGUCAGGGCUCCUGGGUGCCUCAGUCAGUUAAGCGUCCAACUCUUGGUUUCAGUUCAGGUCAUGAUCUCAC
Puma concolor (puma) is the source of this 1472-nucleotide non-coding RNA. Lineage: Eukaryota; Metazoa; Chordata; Mammalia; Carnivora; Felidae. The record is from RefSeq and is a predicted model, not a curated record.